ACUUUGAUUCUGGCUCGGGACGAACGCUGGCGGCGCGCCUAACACAUGCAAGUCGAGCGGGAAGCUUUUUAAGGAUUCUUCGGAUGAAUUAAAAAGUGGAGAGCGGCGGACGGGUGAGUAACGCGUGAGAAACCUGCCCUAUACAGGGGGAUAGCCAUUGGAAACGAUGAUUAAUACCCCAUAUGACCACAGUAUCGCAUGAUACAGCGGUGAAAACUCCGGUGGUAUAGGAUGGUCUCGCGUCUGAUUAGCUAGUUGGUGGGGUAACGGCCCACCAAGGCGACGAUCAGUAGCCGGCCUGAGAGGGUGACCGGCCACACUGGAACUGAGACACGGUCCAGACUCCUACGGGAGGCAGCAGUGGGGAAUAUUGCACAAUGGGCGAAAGCCUGAUGCAGCGACGCCGCGUGAACGAUGAAGGCUUUCGAGUCGUAAAGUUCUGUUCUUGGGGAAGAUAACGACGGUACCCAAGGAGAAAGCACCGGCUAAAUACGUGCCAGCAGCCGCGGUA
RNAcentral lists this ribosomal RNA (511 nucleotides) under uncultured bacterium. Its description in RNAcentral is "bacterial SSU rRNA". It matches the Rfam family "Bacterial small subunit ribosomal RNA", at positions 10 to 522 of the family's 1533-position model. The record is from RNAcentral.